Molecule: RNA transcript, 2760 nt
Organism: Cannabis sativa
Lineage: Eukaryota; Viridiplantae; Streptophyta; Magnoliopsida; Rosales; Cannabaceae
Exons: 10
Source: RefSeq, a predicted model, not a curated record
UUUAAUGUCAGACACUGAAUUUUCUUGCACCAAGUUGGUUAAGUAAAUGACAGUGAUCAUUAUCUGUUUGCUAUGUUAUUACAUGAAAAACUCCAUUUAAAGCUGGAAUUUACGCAUGUGAUUUGUUGUAAUUAGACCACAGGCUAGAGGAAAAGAAAGUUGACUGACAAAAGGGUCUUGAUUAAGUUUUCUUUUUUGUCAUCUUUCACAUAAUAAUGCAAUUUUUUUUUCAUCAAUAUGGACAAACGUGCACUUGUAACCAAAGUUAAAGGUGAUGAAACCAUCAGAAAAAUCCCAGCGAACCCUUUUGAUCUCUCUCUCUCCUUUCUCUAUUGUUUACUCUCUUCUCUGUAUAUCAUGUUCUUUACCAUCCAAUCCAAAGAUGAAACUUAUAUCUUCUUAUGGCUUUUGCUUUACCAUCUAAAGAUAUGUAAUAUAUGCAUACGAUUAAUUGCUCAGCUUUACUGUUUAAUUACUUGCUUGUGCAACUGUGUUUGGGUUAGUGCUGUCCUCAUUUUCAUUAUAUAAUGGGAUACAUCAUUUUAUGCUUAACUCAACUCUUAAAUCGAAAAUCUUAAGGUAAUAAAAACCAUAGGGGAAAUAAUCAUCUGGGGUUGUCAGAAAAAUGAGCAAGCUUGAUUUUUUUUCGUUCUCUUUUGGGUUUCUUUGGUGAUUAGUAGUGAUGUCGUUUGUUGUAGUUAUGUGAAAUACGACACUGAAAGUGUUGUCGUUGAAUGUUCAUUUAGUUCCUUCCUCAUUGUCAUGACGAUGUGGGUUGGGAUCCAGUAACAGCAUUCAAGUAUUAUUGUCACUUAACUUACCAUUGAUUCUUAUAAUAUUUGACAGUAAUUUUUGUUACUGACAAAUCAUUGCUCAAACCAUCAUUCUGUAUAGGCUAAUCAUGUGGACAAUGGGUGAUGAUUUUCAGUAUCAGUACGGAAAAGUUGAUUCACUAUGUCAACAAGGACGGACAGGUGGGUUAAUGUGAUGUAUUCAACACCAUCUAAGUGCAGGGAUGCAAAAUCUGCAGCAAAUGAGACUUGGCCAUUGAAAACUGAUGACUAUUUUCCGUUUUUGUGGCAUAUAAACCCUCUUGGUUGCUCGGUCUUCAUUGUACUCUCUUAAAUGUGGUCUGAGAAUCAUAAUUUUCUACAGAUUACAAGGCUUUACAAGGACAAAGAACAUGCUGAAGUUGAAUUCACAUCUCUGCGUGUCUUCUACAGAUGGUGGAAUGCGGCUUGGGGACAUUGGCAAAAAUCUGCUCAUCAAGCAGCAAUACAUCUUGAGGAGUAAAGAAGUAAUUUUUUAUUGUCAAGAGAGACUUUCUGCUGCAACGAGGCACGCAGAAUCGGUUGCAGUGCUUACUCAUGAACUUGGAAAGAAAUUUCUUGAGGAGAGUUGACUUUCCACCAUUGAGAAACCUUGCUGCUAAGAUAAACGAGACAUUUGGUCUUAACUUCAAAGAGAUGGCACAUUGUUUAGAUCUUAAUAAAUAAAGUAUUUUAUUAAUUGAGUUUCCUUUUGCCCACUUACCUAUUUGUUUAAUUUUUUCUUCUUCUUCUUCCCAAAGGAGUACGACAUGGACUAUGACUAGUUUGGUAUACUGAUAAAAGAAAAUCUCAGACAAACGGAAGAGCUUAAAGUUUUUAAGCUCACACCACCAUCAAUUCAGAGGGGAACGCUUCGUUUCAACUAUACUCUAUCUUGUUUCUCUACAAGACCUUACAUGUUGCCUCUUUAGGGUUGCCUCUUUAGGGUGGUCAAUGACGUAAGGAUAAGCAUGUAGUGGUGGAGGAAUGUGACGGCGUUAAGGCACGGCGAAAUGUACUUGGUUGUACCGACAGUGGACGACAACCUGGCUAUCACCAGCUCAGCUACAAAGAACCGAUUAGCAGCCUUAAGUUUCACGACUCUUCUUAAAUUGAAGAGCUAGUUGGAGAACCAAGAAAACAAAGAUGAGUCAGUUGAUGAUUCAGGUGAUUCAACAAUGACUGAGAUUGUGUCCGAGCAAAGUGAAAGGUCAAACUCAGUGAGCAUAAUGUGAUUGUCCGACUUGACGAGUAUGUUUUUCAAUUUUAAAUCUUUGUGAUGAUUCCUAACAUGUAAAGAUACUCUAAGACUAUUAGAACUUCGACGAAUUAAAUUAUGUAAAUACAAAUAUGCAUGAAAAUCAAAUGAAAACAAAUUUUAUUGGAGUUGUUUAUGUUGGAAUUAUUUUACCAGGAUCUAGAUUUACUACCAAGUAUGUUUGAUUAACAUCCUAAUAUGAAUUCUAAAACAAUGAAAUAAACACAUAAGAGUUUAAGAAAACUUUACAUUGGGUGCAGCGGAAUAUAAUGACUCUUUCCAUUCAGAUCUCUAGCCCUUGAUUCCUUUCUGUAGCAAAGCAUAAUCAAGAUCUGAAUUUGGAUCUCCUUCUCUCCUUCUUUGAUGCUGAUUUUUCACAGUCUUACAUACUAUGAUUAAGGUACCACUUGAUGUGUGUGCUCCUAAUAUCAAUACCUCAAUCAUAGUGAGGAAGAUCGUGAAGAAAGAUCAUCAGCAAAGGAGAUUCAGCAUCAAGGAUUCAGAGAAAGAGAUCCAGGUUCAGAUCUUGAUAAUACUCUGCUACAGAAAGGAUUCAAGGGUUAGAGAUCUGAACGGAAUGAGUCAUUUAAUUCUGCUGCACCCAAUGUAAGGUUUCUUAAACUUUAUAUGUGUUUAAUUUAUCGUUUUAGAAAGUUCUUAUUUAGGAUGUUAAUAAACAUACUUGUGAGUAGA